This 705-nucleotide ribosomal RNA is filed under the name Tectus virgatus. RNAcentral describes it as "partial 12S ribosomal RNA". It matches the Rfam family "Bacterial small subunit ribosomal RNA", at positions 596 to 1521 of the family's 1533-position model. Lineage: Eukaryota; Metazoa; Mollusca; Gastropoda; Trochida; Tegulidae. The record is from RNAcentral.
UUAAGAUUCUGGCAGUGAAAAAGGAGGUUAAAGAGUUAAGCUCUGUGAGUUGAGUGCCAAGUAGAGGGGAGCUAGUACUUUUUAUAGGAGUGAAAUCCGAAUAAAAUGAGGUUAGUCUAUUAGUCCCUUAUUCUUGAUGCCUCGAAAUCUUAAUAUAAGACCGGGAUUAGAUACCCCGUUAUUUAAGAAGUAAAUUUUGAUUAUUAAGUUAAUUUACUAGGGUAUUACGAGAUGUAUAUGUAAUUUUAAUACAGCUAUCUUAAAACUCAAAAGACUUGGCGGUGCUUUAGGUCCUUCUAGGGGAACCUGUCCUAUAAUUGAUAGUCCACGAAUUACCUCUCCUUUUUUUGAUUUUUCAGCUUGUAUACCGUCGUCGUCAGAUUACCUUUAAGAGUAAUAAAGUUGUCAGUAGGAGUUUAACAAUAAGAUUAAUUUUUAGUUCUCAUUGUGAUCUCUUGACGUCAGAUCAAGGUGCAGUUUAUGAAAAGGAAGAGAUGGGUUACAGUAAUGAUUUAUUAUUACGGAUUUUUUUCUGAAUUGGGAGAUAUUGAAGGCGGACUUGGAAGUAAUUUAGAUAACAAGGGAAUAGAAAGCCUUGGUGAAAAUUGGCACUGAAGCGUGCACAUAUCGCCCGUCGCUCUCGUUGAAAAAUGAGAUAAGUCGUAACAUAGUGAGGGUACCGGAAGGUGCUCUUAGUGACAAUAA